Molecule: ribosomal RNA, 164 nt
Filed under: Carpobrotus muirii
Lineage: Eukaryota; Viridiplantae; Streptophyta; Magnoliopsida; Caryophyllales; Aizoaceae
Description: 5.8S ribosomal RNA
Rfam family: 5.8S ribosomal RNA
About the family: 5.8S ribosomal RNA (5.8S rRNA) is a component of the large subunit of the eukaryotic ribosome. It is transcribed by RNA polymerase I as part of the 45S precursor that also contains 18S and 28S rRNA.
Source: RNAcentral
UUAAACGACUCUCGGCAACGGAUAUCUCGGCUCUCGCAUCGAUGAAGAACGUAGCGAAAUGCGAUACUUGGUGUGAAUUGCAGAAUCCCGUGAACCAUCGAGUCUUUGAACGCAAGUUGCGCCCGAAGCCUUCGGGCCGAGGGCACGUCUGCCUGGGCGUCACG